CAUUUAUUGCAUUGAACUCGAAAACCAAGCGCAGCAACAGGCGCUUUCCGAGCAGCUACGGGCAGCUUGAAGGAGGGACUCCUUUGCAUCAGUGUACUCCAACUGAAUUGUCCUAAUCUUUCCCAGGUAAAACAGGUACCGACAGAACUGCUGAUUUGAGUGAGCUUCAAAUCGUGGGGCCUUUGACCUCAGCUUCUCUGCUUGAUC
This 207-nucleotide unclassified non-coding RNA is filed under the name Hevea brasiliensis (rubber tree). Lineage: Eukaryota; Viridiplantae; Streptophyta; Magnoliopsida; Malpighiales; Euphorbiaceae. The record is from RNAcentral.